Molecule: ribosomal RNA, 119 nt
Organism: Myotis lucifugus (little brown bat)
Lineage: Eukaryota; Metazoa; Chordata; Mammalia; Chiroptera; Vespertilionidae
Source: Ensembl
GUCUACGGCCAUACCACCCUGAACGUGCCCGAUCUCGUCUGAUCUCGGAAGCUGAGCAGGGUCGGGCCUGGUUAGUACUUGGAUGGGAGACCGCCUGGGAAUACCAGGUGCUGUAGGCU